Humulus lupulus (European hop) is the source of this 404-nucleotide long non-coding RNA. RefSeq lists it as uncharacterized. The transcript has 4 exons. The record is from RefSeq and is a predicted model, not a curated record. NCBI's taxonomy places the organism in Eukaryota, Viridiplantae, Streptophyta, Magnoliopsida, Rosales, Cannabaceae.
CAGAGAGAAAAGAAAACCAAAUACCAUUUCUUGGCUGGUUUGAAGAAAUUCUAAGGAGAUCCAAGUGAAAGCAAAGCCAAAGAAGUAGAUUAAGCUUAGUUCUAACCUUUUUAUGAUAUUUCUUGGGGUUUCCAAGUGGUUUGAGGUUUAGAAAAGCUUGAAGAGAUUGUUUUCGCCGAAAAGUUGCUCGGAUAAGCACAUCAAUACCUAAGACACCACUUGUUACACGGUGAACUAUAUUUUGGACAAAAGGUAGAGAAAGAAAUGUGUGAAUGACAUGAGGAGAACUGAAGCAUGGUCCUGACCCUGAUUUGUACAUAUGAACAUAUCGACCUUUUUGUGGGUUAUUUCAGUUAUCAGUGAGAUGUUUGUAAUAAAGUGUGAAGUUAUGUUUUGAAAACAAA